CGGCUCUGUUUGGCAAGGCCAAGCAUUAGUGCUGCAAACGAGACCCCGCCCGGCCGCACGAAUACGCCCGGCCCACUGGGAUACGCGAGCCAUAAACUCCUCUGCAGCGGGUGUGCGCCUCUGGUAUUGUAACUUCUUGUCAUUGACACACUAACUCUUCCACCCGCCGCCUUGUCCAAGCUUCGUUUGGUAGACUGUAUAGCAGGCCCCACCCAUUCGAUAAAAGACCACGCCCACCACCCGGACCUUCCCGCUCGACCACGCCCCCUCGCGGCGCACUCCAGACCCUCCGGGUCUCAACUCUUUGUAGGGACUUAAGGGUGAAAUCUGUUACUUGGAGUUAAGGAGUCGCUAAGGUGGCUGUGCAGGGAAGGCAGAAUGUCACAGAGGAUCGCCACCAUCGCAUCCCGCUUAGGUUGUCGGGGAAUCCUGCUUGUAAUGGCUGCGGCUUCUUGGACUCCUGUUUGUGCAGGCAUUGGGAAGAGAAAACAAUCCCUUAAAGGCUAAGGCUAGCGUCACUCCGCAAGACCGAACUUUCCAGAAGCACCGGAAACUGAGUGGAGAGGGAAGAAUAUCUGAGAGAGGCCAGAAACACUGUCGGAAGGCUCCAGAAACAUUUCUCCAGUGAGCAGGUGCUUUCUGCCUACACAGUGUUUUUAGAAGGAUUUUGGUUGUUUGUUUUGUUUGUUUGUUUGUUUUAAUUGGGGUCCAGAGGAUCCUACUCCGUCAGGCUUGGUGACAACUGCCUUUACCUACUGGGUCAUCUCUCCCACUCUCUUAAACACAGUUUUUCCUAAUGCAAAAAUUAAUUAAGUUUGUCUAUUCGCUUUUAUCAGUUUGGCGGAUUAGAAACAGCAAAUUAGAAAUGGCAGUGCCAGGAGCGACAGAGGCAAGGUGAGGAGAGGCAGCUGAGGCUGAGACAAAAAGCUUUGGACCACUCAGGGUCCUCUGUCACCCAGUACAAUCCUGCAUUCAGGAAAUAGGCACUGCUUUCUUAGCAGGAUAAAACGGGCUUUCAAAAGACCAGACGUGCCUUCUUGAAGAGAUGAAGACGACAGUUUGAGUGGACUGCGCGCUCUCAGCUGGGCAGAUUAUUAGGGACGCUGUAAGGGGGAGGACGGGUUUAAAGCCAGGCUGCUCGGAGGGGAGCCACUCUACCUGGCCCAGCACUUGACUCCACCCAUCUGGAGAUCCUGCCGGCCCCGCCCACGCACCAGGCGGCUCCACCCAACACCAGAAGGGCCAGCCCGCUUUGCCCACUGUGCACGUGGCCCCGCCCCUCACCUCCAGGUCCACACCAAGCGGUGCCCUCAGGUUCGCACGCACUUACAUGGUUCAUCAGAGCACCUGAAGCCCUCUCCCUACUUUCCACACACGGGGCCUGCUCAAUCAUGCCGGUGGCCAUACCCAAACAUCAAGAGUCCGCACGUCCCCGCCCCAACGCCAUCCCACGGCUCAUCCAACAAUCAGGGGUGAGUCCAACGCCAAGAUUCCCCAGCCCUCAGGCAGCAUCGGGAGGCCUCACACCGGAGCUCACCGUCCCACCCUCUGCCCGCCGGCCUCCCUAGACUGUCACCUGAG
Non-coding RNA from Rattus norvegicus (Norway rat), 1581 nucleotides. Lineage: Eukaryota; Metazoa; Chordata; Mammalia; Rodentia; Muridae. The record is from RefSeq and is a predicted model, not a curated record.